ACAGAUGUGGCGGAAUAGGUAGACGCGCUAGAUUUAGGUCCUAGUAACGAUAGUUAUGAGAGUUCAAAUCUCUCCAUCUGUA
Molecule: transfer RNA, 82 nt
Filed under: Nitzschia alba
Lineage: Eukaryota; Bacillariophyta; Bacillariophyceae; Bacillariales; Bacillariaceae
Description: tRNA-Leu
Rfam family: tRNA
About the family: Transfer RNA (tRNA) molecules are approximately 80 nucleotides in length. Their secondary structure includes four short double-helical elements and three loops (D, anti-codon, and T loops).
Source: RNAcentral